RNAcentral lists this unclassified non-coding RNA (391 nucleotides) under soil metagenome. RNAcentral's name for it is "partial contains 5.8S ribosomal RNA, internal transcribed spacer 2, and large subunit ribosomal RNA". The stretch from base 1 to 122 matches the Rfam family "5.8S ribosomal RNA", at positions 35 to 154 of the family's 154-position model. The record is from RNAcentral.
GAUGAAGAACGCAGUGAAAUGCGAUACUUGGUGUGAAUUGCAGAAUCCCGUGAACCAUCGAGUCUUUGAACGCAAGUUGCGCCCGAAGCCACUAGGCCGAGGGCACGCCUGCCUGGGCGUCACACGUCGUUGCCCCCCCAUCUACUCCUUCGGGAUUGCGGGGGGGCGGAUGAUGGCCUCCCGUGCGCCUAGCCGCGCGGUUGGCAUAAAUACCAAGUCCUCGGCGACGCACGCCACGACAAUCGGUGGUUGCGAAACCUCGGUUGCCCGUCGUGUGCGUUCGUCGCGCAUCGAGGGCUCGAAAAAAUGCUCGGCUCCGGCUGGGCUUUCAACGCGACCCCAGGUCAGGCGGGGUUACCCGCUGAAUUUAAGCAUAUCAAUAAGCGGAGGA